Long non-coding RNA from Danio aesculapii, 270 nucleotides. RefSeq lists it as uncharacterized. The transcript is spliced from 3 exons. The record is from RefSeq and is a predicted model, not a curated record. NCBI's taxonomy places the organism in Eukaryota, Metazoa, Chordata, Actinopteri, Cypriniformes, Danionidae.
GAUGUGUCGUUUGACGCUGUUCGUGUCCACCACAGACUGUUUGUUUAUGUGUGUGAAUUUUGUGGUUAAGAAAAAGAAACAAUUUUGCAUCUUUUUUUCACGAAAACCAUGUGAAAUGUAAUACCUCUUGUUCUUGUGGCAUUGAGUUAAUAAAAAAGCAUUUCCAAUGGCGUUUCUGCGGUAGCCUGCUGAUCCUGACAGGCGUGUAUGGAUGUUUCCCAGAGAUGGGUUGCGGCUGGAAGGGCAUCUGCUGCAUAAAACGUGCUGGAU